CCUACGGGAGGCAGCAGUGAGGAAUAUUGGUCAAUGGGCGCGAGCCUGAACCAGCCAAGUCGCGUGAGGGAAGACGGCCCUACGGGUUGUAAACCUCUUUUGCCGGGGAGCAACGGGCGCCACGUGUGGCGCCACUGAGAGUACCCGGAGAAAAAGCAUCGGCUAACUCCGUUCCAGCAGCCGCGGUAAUACGGGGGAUGCGAGCGUUAUCCGGAUUUGUUGGGUUAAGAGGGUGCGUAGGCGGAGCGUAAGGUCAGUGGUAAAAUUGGGGGGCCAAACCCCUUCCCGCCAUUGAAACUGGCGCUCUUGAGUGGAAGAGAAGUAGGCGGAAUGCGUGGUGUAGCGGUGAAAUGCAUAGAUAUCACGCAGAACCCCGAUUGCGAAGGCAGCAUGCCGGCUUCCUACUGACGCUGAAGCACGAAAGCGUGGGGAUCGAACAGGAUUAGAUACCCUAGUAGUC
RNAcentral lists this ribosomal RNA (460 nucleotides) under uncultured bacterium. RNAcentral's name for it is "partial 16S ribosomal RNA". It matches the Rfam family "Bacterial small subunit ribosomal RNA", at positions 338 to 795 of the family's 1533-position model. The record is from RNAcentral.